RNAcentral lists this ribosomal RNA (497 nucleotides) under uncultured bacterium. Its description in RNAcentral is "partial 16S ribosomal RNA". It matches the Rfam family "Bacterial small subunit ribosomal RNA", at positions 28 to 507 of the family's 1533-position model. The record is from RNAcentral.
GAUGAACGCUGGCGGCGUGCCUAAUACAUGCAAGUCGAGCGAACAGACGAGGAGCUUGCUCCUCUGACGUUAGCGGCGGACGGGUGAGUAACACGUGGAUAACCUACCUAUAAGACUGGGAUAACUUCGGGAAACCGGAGCUAAUACCGGAUAAUAUAUUGAACCGCAUGGUUCAAUAGUGAAAGACGGUUUUGCUGUCACUUAUAGAUGGAUCCGCGCCGCAUUAGCUAGUUGGUAAGGUAACGGCUUACCAAGGCAACGAUGCGUAGCCGACCUGAAAGGGUGAUCGGCCACACUGGAACUGAGACACGGUCCAGACUCCUACGGGAGGCAGCAGUAGGGAAUCUUCCGCAAUGGGCGAAAGCCUGACGGAGCAACGCCGCGUGAGUGAUGAAGGUCUUCGGAUCGUAAAACUCUGUUAUUAGGGAAGAACAAAUGCGUAAGUAACUAUGCACGUCUUGACGGUACCUAAUCAGAAAGCCACGGCUAACUACGUG